CAGCACCUCAAGUGGUCAGGAUGAUUAUUGGGCCUAAAGCAUCCGUAGCCGGCGCUGUAAGUUUUCGGUUAAAUCUGUACGCUCAACGUACAGGCUGCCGGGAAUACUGCAGCGCUAGGGAGUGGGAGAGGUAGACGGUACUCGGUAGGAAGGGGUAAAAUCUUUUGAUCUAUUGAUGACCACCUGUGGCGAAGGCGGUCUACCAGAACACGUCCGACGGUGAGGGAUGAAAGCUGGGGGAGCAAACCGGAUUAGAUACCCGAGUAGUCC
Molecule: ribosomal RNA, 270 nt
Filed under: uncultured archaeon
Lineage: Archaea
Description: partial 16S ribosomal RNA
Rfam family: Archaeal small subunit ribosomal RNA
Source: RNAcentral